RNAcentral lists this ribosomal RNA (442 nucleotides) under Alopecosa virgata. RNAcentral describes it as "partial 16S ribosomal RNA". The record is from RNAcentral. Lineage: Eukaryota; Metazoa; Arthropoda; Arachnida; Araneae; Lycosidae.
UCGCCUGUUUUACAAAAACAUUUCUAUUAGAAUAUAAUUAAUAGUAAAAUCUGCUCAAUGAUAAAUUUAUAUAGCCGCUUUUGUGCUAAGGUAGUAUAAUAAUUUGUCUUUUAAUUAAAGACCAAAACAAAAGAUUUAACAUCUUAAUAUAUAUUUUAAAUCUAUUUAUUUAAAUUAUCUUAAAUGUAAAAAGACAUUUAUAAAAAUGAAAGACGAUAAGACCCUAUUGAACUUAACUUUAGUUUAACUGGGGAAGUUAAUUAAUUAUUACUUUAAUCUUAAAUAAAUUAAAUUUUAACCUAAUAUUAUUAAAAAUAAAUAAGUUACCAUAGGGAUAACAGCGUAAUAAAAUUUUUAAGAUCUUAUUUAAAAUAAAGAUUGCGACCUCGAUGUUGAUUUAAUUUUCUUAUUUCACGCAACAGUUAUAAAGAAAGUCGUCGCU